CCCUCCACACACACAGACUGAACCCCCACCUCCACGCACAGACUGACUGCCACACACACAGGCUGACCCCCCACACCCAUACACACACACACUGAUCCACACACAGACUGACCCACACACACAAACAGACCCCCACAGAUGCAGACUGAAACCUCCCCACCUUCACACAUGGACUGAUCCCCACACAGACUGGCCCAUAUACACAAAGUGACCCCCACACAGACUGAACCCCCACCCCUACACACAGACUGAUCCAUACUCAUACACAGACUAAGCCCCACACACAGACUGCCCCCCGCCCCAGACUGAACCACACACAAUGACUCACACUUACCAGAAGCUGCAUCUGUGCAGAGCUGAGCUUCCUCUCCCUGUUUCUCCCCUGCGCUGCUCUCUAUGACCCAGGAGGAAGUCCUCCCAGCACAGUGCCCCCUCUGGCUGCAUUUGGGAAAAGGGUGGAACAUAGUUCCACAGUGAUAGCACUGCUGCAGCUUGUGAAUGGAAACUCAGUGCCGCAGACUUUAAAUUUUAAUGGGGGGGGGGAGGGGCUCUGCCUCCUCCCCAGCCCCCUCCCCAG
Molecule: non-coding RNA, 577 nt
Organism: Pelobates cultripes (western spadefoot toad)
Lineage: Eukaryota; Metazoa; Chordata; Amphibia; Anura; Pelobatidae
Source: the annotation of a GenBank genome assembly